GGGGGACCCCCGCCCCACAAACCCUCUGUCUCUGUCUCUUGACUGUUGUCCAAGACUUGGUGUCCUGACCCUUGUACGUGUGUGAAUGUCAUCAGACCAGUCCUCUGUGUCCCCCAACACUCGCUCACACCUAUGUCCGCCCCUUGUGUUCGCCACACCCCGUGUCUGGCCGAUCCCCCCACCGCUGCUGCUAUCAACGCCAGAAUAAACACACUCCGUGGGUCUCAC
This 228-nucleotide long non-coding RNA is filed under the name Marmota monax (woodchuck). The record is from RNAcentral. Lineage: Eukaryota; Metazoa; Chordata; Mammalia; Rodentia; Sciuridae.